Long non-coding RNA from Gopherus evgoodei (Goodes thornscrub tortoise), 151 nucleotides. RefSeq lists it as uncharacterized. The record is from RefSeq and is a predicted model, not a curated record. The transcript has 3 exons. NCBI's taxonomy places the organism in Eukaryota, Metazoa, Chordata, Testudines, Testudinidae.
AACUAAGUUAGGAGGUGGAGGGAUAGUUCAGUGGCUUGAGCAUUGGCCUGCUAAACCCAGGGUUAUGCAUUUGAUCCUUAAGGAAGCCACUUAGGAAUCUAGGGCAAAAUUAGUACUUGGUCCUGCUAGUGAAGGCAGGGGGGAUGGACUC